GACGAACGCUGGCGGCGUGCCUAAUACAUGCAAGUAGAACGCACAGUUUAUACCGUAGCUUGCUACACCAUAGACUGUGAGUUGCGAACGGGUGAGUAACGCGUAGGUAACCUGCCUGGUAGCGGGGGAUAACUAUUGGAAACGAUAGCUAAUACCGCAUAAUAUUAAUUAUUGCAUGAUAAUUAAUUGAAAGGUGCAAUUGCACCACUACCAGAUGGGCCUGCGUUGUAUUAGCUAGUAGGUGAGGUAACGGCUCACCUAGGCGACGAUACAUAGCCGACCUGAGAGGGUGAUCGGCCACACUGGGACUGAGACACGGCCCAGACUCCUACGGGAGGCAGCAGUAGGGAAUCUUCGGCAAUAGACGAAAGUCUGACCGAGCAACGCCGCGUGAGUGAAGAAGGUUUUCGGAUCGUAAAGCUCUGUUGUAAGAGAAGAACGGGUGUGAGAGUGGAAAGUUCACACUGUGACGGUAUCUUACCAGAAAGGGACGGCUAACUACGUG
This 505-nucleotide ribosomal RNA is filed under the name uncultured bacterium. RNAcentral describes it as "partial 16S ribosomal RNA". It matches the Rfam family "Bacterial small subunit ribosomal RNA", at positions 28 to 507 of the family's 1533-position model. The record is from RNAcentral.